UACGUAGGGUGCAAGCGUUGUCCGGAAUUAUUGGGCGUAAAGAGCUUGUAGGCGGUUUGUCGCGUCUGCUGUGAAAUUUCGGGGCUCAACCCCGAACUUGCAGUGGGUACGGGCAGACUAGAGUGUGGUAGGGGGAGACUGGAAUUCCUGGUGUAGCGGUGAAAUGCGCAGAUAUCAGGAGGAACACCGAUGGCGAAGGCAGGUCUCUGGGCCCACUACUGACGCUGAGAAGCGAAAGCAUGGGGAGCGAACAGG
RNAcentral lists this ribosomal RNA (255 nucleotides) under uncultured bacterium. Its description in RNAcentral is "partial 16S ribosomal RNA". It matches the Rfam family "Bacterial small subunit ribosomal RNA", at positions 524 to 776 of the family's 1533-position model. The record is from RNAcentral.